RNAcentral lists this unclassified non-coding RNA (268 nucleotides) under uncultured fungus. RNAcentral describes it as "partial contains 5.8S ribosomal RNA, internal transcribed spacer 2, and large subunit ribosomal RNA". Lineage: Eukaryota; Fungi. The record is from RNAcentral.
AACGCACAUUGCGCCCCUUGGUAUUCCGGGGGGCAUGCCUGUUCGAGCGUCAUUACACCAAUCAAGCACAGCUUGGCAUUAGGCCUCCUUUUGCGCCCACGGUCAAACGCGGGCGGGCCUCAAAACCUUCGGCGAAGUCAUAUCCGGCUUUGGGCGUAGCAGAAUCUGUUUAAACGUCCGCGUGGCUAGGGGAGUCUUCCGCCGCCAGAAUCUAUUAUAUUUUCUCAAGGUUGACCUCGGAUCAGGUAGGAAUACCCGCUGAACUUAA